This 460-nucleotide ribosomal RNA is filed under the name uncultured bacterium. RNAcentral describes it as "partial 16S ribosomal RNA". It matches the Rfam family "Bacterial small subunit ribosomal RNA", at positions 338 to 795 of the family's 1533-position model. The record is from RNAcentral.
CCUACGGGUGGCAGCAGUGAGGAAUAUUGGUCAAUGGGCGCGAGCCUGAACCAGCCACGUAGCGUGAAGGAUGACUGCCCUACGGGUUGUAAACUUCUUUUAUAAAGGAAUAAAGUGAGGCACGUGUGCCUUUUUGUCUGUACUUUAUGAAUAAGGAUCGGCGAACUCCGUGCCACCAGCCGCGGUGAUACGGGGGAUCAGAGCGUUAUCCGGAUUUAUUGGGUUUAAAGGACGCGUAGAUGGGGUGUUAAGUCAGUUGUGAAAGUUUGCGGCUCAACCGUAAAAUUGCAAUUGAUACUGGCAGUCUUGAGUACAGUUGAGGUAGGCGGAAUUCGUGGUGUAGCGGUGAAAUGCUUAGAGAUCACGAAGAACUCCGAUUGCGAAGGCAGCUUACUAAACUGCCACUGACAUUGAUGCUCGAAAGUGUGGGUAUCAAACAGGAUUAGAUACCCUUGUAGUC